GAUGAACGCUGGCGGCGUGCCUAAUACAUGCAAGUCGAGCGAACAGACGAGGAUCUUGCUCCUCUGACGUUAGCGGCGGACGGGUGAGUAACACGUGGAUAACCUACCUAUAAGACUGGGAUAACUUCGGGAAACCGGAGCUAAUACCGGAUAAUAUAUUGAACCGCAUGGUUCAAUAGUGAAAGACGGUUUUGCUGUCACUUAUAGAUGGAUCCGCGCCGCAUUAGCUAGUUGGUAAGGUAACGGCUUACCAAGGCAACGAUGCGUAGCCGACCUGAGAGGGUGAUCGGCCACACUGGAACUGAGACACGGUCCAGACUCCUACGGGAGGCAGCAGUAGGGAAUCUUCCGCAAUGGGCGAAAGCUUGACGGAGCAACGCCGCGUGAGUGAUGAAGGUCUUCGGAUCGUAAAACUCUGUUAUUAGGGAAGAACAAAUGUGUAAGUAACUAUGCACGUCUUGACGGUACCUAAUCAGAAAGCCACGGCUAACUACGUG
RNAcentral lists this ribosomal RNA (497 nucleotides) under uncultured bacterium. RNAcentral's name for it is "partial 16S ribosomal RNA". It matches the Rfam family "Bacterial small subunit ribosomal RNA", at positions 28 to 507 of the family's 1533-position model. The record is from RNAcentral.